GUGUCAGCAGCCGCGGUAAUACGUAGGGUGCGAGCGUUAAUCGGAAUUACUGGGCGUAAAGCGUGCGUAGGUGGUUCGUUGUGUCUGUGGUGAAAUCCCCGGGCUUAACCUGGGAAUGGCCAUGGAAACUGGCGAGCUGGAGUGUGGCAGAGGGGGGUGGAAUUCCGCGUGUAGCAGUGAAAUGCGUAGAGAUGCGGAGGAACACCGAUGGCGAAGGCAGCCCCCUGGGCUAACACUGACGCUGAGGCACGAAAGCGUGGGGAGCAAACAGGAUUAGAUACCCUGGUAGUCCACGCCCUAAACGAUGUCAACUGGGUGUUCGGAAAGCGAUUUCUGGGUACCGUAGCUAACGCGUGAAGUUGACCGCCUGGGGAGUACGGCCGCAAGGUUAAA
Molecule: ribosomal RNA, 393 nt
Filed under: uncultured bacterium
Lineage: Bacteria
Description: bacterial SSU rRNA
Rfam family: Bacterial small subunit ribosomal RNA
Source: RNAcentral